AUGAACAUGGUCACGCCAAAGGGUUUUGAGAGCGAAGUCACGGGUAGCAGCAGCACAUCUUCGGCAGACACCAAGACCGACAGCACCUCUCCCUUCGAGGCCUCGGUCAUAAACAAGUUUCUCUCAAAUAACAGCGUCACUCUGGAAUACAUGACCCGUGCACCCGUGGUCAGAGCCUAUCUGUGUCUCGACCCAACCUUCGGAGGCGGCUCCAGGUCCUGCGCCGGCGUGUGCUGUGCUGUGGAGCUGGCGGGCGGCAAUCUAGUGGUUAUGGCCCUGGAGGAACUGGAGAUACGGGAUUUGGAUCAAGUGACUCGAGUCUAUGCAGCUCUGCUGAGCGCUCACAUAAGGCUACUGAAACUUUUGAUGCCCAGAGUGAUGUGGAAAGAAGUGCCCGUGGUGAUAGUAUUUGAACAAAACACGUACGUCAACGCCCUGGUUGAUGUAAAAAAUCUCAUUGAGUUGUCACUCGUACGCUCGGGGUUCAAAGUGCUCUUCUAUAGCAAGUGGUCACCCAUCAACAACAAGUACAUGCUGGGUAAGCACGUGGGUGCCAGACCAAACUUGCUAUGGUUCUAAGCACGGUCUCGGCAAUCAACAGAGAAACCCUUUACUAUUGUGACACGGUCAUGUCUCUGGGAUGGGCGGUGUUGUCAGAGGCCACCAAGAAAACUCAACUUCUCGAAUCCUCCAUCGGCACCUCGAAGGGCGCGGGCUGUAGUAGCAAGAUGGGAUCCAAUAUGGAUGUAUUUAUGUAUCGGCGCUCACGAAACGGAGUCAAUUUGGCCACUGAUGUCACGGCCAGUGUACUGGAGAGGCGCGAUAUCAUAACGCUACCCGGGAACAGGCUCACUGACAAGGCACACGCCGAGCAAGGAAAACUGCUCCUGGGGAAGCUGAGAGAAGAAAUGUCUAUGGUCACUAUCACGGAGUCUGCAAAAGGAAGCACGGUGACUACAGGAGGGAAAAAAUCUGUACAGGGAGAGUACACCAGAGACGACAUGCUCUCUGCGUUCCUGCUUCUCUGUCACACCAGAGACGAAAUACAUAGCGGUGAAAGGUCUAUACGAAUAAGCGGCGAGGUAUACAACAACAAGUAAUGCUUGUGGUAUGUGUGUUUGACCUGAUAAUUAAAGACUACGACACUUUGCAUUUUGUUGUCAUGUUUGUUUUUAUUGUGAGCAUAUUGAAUAACAUAAACCACCUGUCACGUGGGAUAGUUCACUGGGACAUACAAAAGAAUUUUUCCGGAGUCCAGUAGACAAUUCAGUCUUUGUUGUCGCCGUCCUCUUCGUCAUCGCCGUUACAGGAAUCGUCUUCAAACACAACUCCUUUAGCCAGCCUGUCACCAUACAAGGGUGCUGGUCUGUACCAGACGCCUCCCCCGUAGCCGUCAUCCCAAAACUCAAGACCCACGGCUCGCAGGUAAGC
RNAcentral lists this long non-coding RNA (1431 nucleotides) under Betta splendens (Siamese fighting fish). RNAcentral's name for it is "lncRNA (ENSBSLG00000017695.1)". Lineage: Eukaryota; Metazoa; Chordata; Actinopteri; Anabantiformes; Osphronemidae. The record is from RNAcentral.